GAUGAACGCUGGCGGCGUGCCUAAUACAUGCAAGUCGAGCGAACAGACGAGGAGCUUUCUCCUCUGACGUUAGCGGCGGACGGGUGAGUAACACGUGGAUAACCUACCUAUAAGACUGGGAUAACUUCGGGAAACCGGAGCUAAUACCGGAUAACAUGUUGAACCGCAUGGUUCAACAGUGAAAGACGGUUUUGCUGUCACUUAUAGAUGGAUCCGCGUCGCAUUAGCUAGUUGGUAAGGUAACGGCUUACCAAGGCAACGAUGCGUAGCCGACCUGAGAGGGUGAUCGGCCACACUGGAACUGAGACACGGUCCAGACUCCUACGGGAGGCAGCAGUAGGGAAUCUUCCGCAAUGGGCGAAAGCCUGACGGAGCAACGCCGCGUGAGUGAAGAAGGUCUUCGGAUCGUAAAACUCUGUUAGUAGGGAAGAACAAAUGUGUAAGUAACCAUGCACGUCUUGACGGUACCUAAUCAGAAAGCCACGGCUAACUACGUG
Molecule: ribosomal RNA, 497 nt
Filed under: uncultured bacterium
Lineage: Bacteria
Description: partial 16S ribosomal RNA
Rfam family: Bacterial small subunit ribosomal RNA
Source: RNAcentral